Molecule: ribosomal RNA, 439 nt
Filed under: uncultured bacterium
Lineage: Bacteria
Description: partial 16S ribosomal RNA
Rfam family: Bacterial small subunit ribosomal RNA
Source: RNAcentral
CUACGGGGGGCACCAGUGGGGAAUAUUGCACAAUGGAGGAAACUCUGAUGCAGCAACGCCGCGUGGAGGAUGGCCCUUUUCGGAGCGUAAACUCCUUUUAUAUAGGAAGAAGAUGACGGUACUAUAUGAAUAAGCGCCGGCUAACUCCGUGCCAGCAGCCGCGGUAAUACGGAGGGCGCAAGCGUUACUCGGAAUCACUGGGCGUAAAGAGCGUGUAGGCGGAUUAAAAAGUCAGAAGUGAAAUCCUAUAGCUUAACUAUAGAACUGCUUCUGAAACUCUUAAUCUAGAAUAUGGGAGAGGUAGAUGGAAUUUCUGGUGUAGGGGUAAAAUCCGUAGAGAUCAGAAGGAAUACCGAUUGCGAAGGCGAUCUACUAGAACAUUAUUGACGCUGAGACGCGAAAGCGUGGGGAGCAAACAGGAUUAGAUACCCUGGUAGUC